RNAcentral lists this long non-coding RNA (2076 nucleotides) under Cottoperca gobio. Its description in RNAcentral is "lncRNA (ENSCGOG00000001880.1)". Lineage: Eukaryota; Metazoa; Chordata; Actinopteri; Perciformes; Bovichtidae. The record is from RNAcentral.
GAGGGACAACAUGAUCCCGGCCUCCCCUACUGUGUCAGUGUUGGCGGACCUCCUCCCUGCGCUCGCGCUGCUCCAAACAGGUAUGAGCCAUGACGGCAGCAAGGUGACACCCACCUCUCUUCCGCUGCUGCUCCGGUGUGGUGCAACGCGGCUCCAGCUCAGCUCCCGGUGGAGAUUUGUAUAUAAAUUCCAACAUCCAUCGGACAUCCCUCUCUCCGCGAUGUCCUCCAGAGGUAAACAUGACUUGUGCCGAAUGUGUGGCGGAGCUCUCAAGGGAAACCAAAGGCGGUGGCUGUUUGGGGGCCUAAACAAGAAGACUGGUCCGCCUCGGACCCCGACAAGUUCUCUGAGGGGAGGAAGUCUGUCCCGGUCCUCACAGAGCAGCCCCUGGGGCAGCACGUCAUCUCUGUGUUCCUCAGCGUCUCUCUCCAAGUCGCAGUUAUGCCUGAGCUCCCCGUCCAAAGGGAUGGAUCUGCUCUCGGUGUUGACUCACAUACUGGGGCAUUCUGUCCCACGAGGCAGCGGGCAGGGGGAGUUUGUGUGCGGGAAAUGCAUGUGCGUCCUCGAGCGGGUAUUUAAGUUCGACUCGGUGAUAGCCAGGGUGAGGGUCCUUUCCUCCGAGAGGCUUCAGAAGCUGAUGCAGGAGAGGGACAAGAUCAGACAGGGGGUGCGCCAAAGCUAUUACCAGAGACACCCGCGGGACUUCCAGAGCAGGGGCAGCACCAGCGAGGAGGAUGGAGAUGCGGAGAAGGAGGGCUACAGGGAGAUGCUCAAAGAGAAUAUGGCACUCUCAGAGUACGAGUGCUGGUCCGAGAAGUGGGACACGUGCCCGUAUUUUACAAGAACGGGUAAAAGAUGCAGAAAGGGCAAAGGAUGUGAAGGCUGUGAUUCUUUACGGGUGUCCUGACUCAGAUUAUGAGUCUGUUUGUGGGAAUUCCUCGCCGUUUGCCUUUCCAACCCUUCUCCCCGUUGCCGUUGUCGCGGGACAAAUCUCAGAGCAUGCCCCUCCACUGGCAGAGGAUGCCAUCCUUCAGCUCCAGCCAGUCUUCACUGGCCGUGUCCACUCUCUCCUUACAAACGUCUUCCCGCACUGCGUCCAUCCAGUCUCUGGACUCUCUUGAUGGCAACGACCCGUUUGACUCGCUGGGUGUUCAGUCGGCCAACCUUGUGCUGAAGGAGCUGAGAAGUAUUGAAGGGAAGCCGGUUUGUUCACCAUCUGGCAGUAAGAUCCCAGUUCUGGGCAGGAAGUACUCGGGAGAAGUUGGGGAGACGGCGUCACCCUCCGUGAACAGGGUACUGCACUUUGGGAAUGUAGAGAACGGAGGGCAGGAAGUGGAUGAAGAGGACGGGGAUGUCCUAUCAGAGCUGAGGGAAGAGUUCAUGCCUCUUCAUCGAGAAAGCACUACUGGCAAGGUUCACUACGCUGUCAGACACCUGCGAGGCCAGCUGGACCAAGCUUUGUCCCACAUCAGGACCCUGGAGGCCGAGCUGAAACAUGGGAGGAGCAAACAAACAGAGUCCAAUGGAUCAGAAGACUGGGCCCCUUUGGUCCAGGAGGAAGGUGGCAGCUCCCUGCUGCAGAGCCUCGGUCACUCCCUGCACAGCCGGGAGCGUCUGAUCCAGGAGUGUAUGGGUCUGAUCAGAAGACUGUGUGUGGAGAAGGGAGCAGGGACUGAGCUGGCCGACAGGCUGACUGAGAAUCUGAAGGAAACUCAAUCGGUCAACAAGGCUGCCCUGCAGACUUUGAGGUUCGAAAUCACUGGGAAGGAGAAGAGCAUGGAGAAAGAGAUCGAGGCACUGAGGAAGGCUGGAAAAGACAGAGAGAGAGACCUCGACACGCUCAACACCGUGCUGCAGUGCAACCAGGAUAUUAUCAAUGACCUGCGAGUGGCUCUGGGGGAGAAGGAGCGACUGCUGAAGGAGGUGGGGAAAGAGAGGGAGGUGUGGAGACAGAGGGACCGGGCCCUUGCGUCUGUCCUGCAGGAGAAGGAGGCUCUAAUCCAGGAGCUGCAGAGCGGUCACAAAGCUGUGCAGGCUCUCUCUGACUCUGUGACUGGUCAGGGGUUGGACUGGUGA